This 497-nucleotide ribosomal RNA is filed under the name uncultured bacterium. RNAcentral's name for it is "partial 16S ribosomal RNA". It matches the Rfam family "Bacterial small subunit ribosomal RNA", at positions 28 to 507 of the family's 1533-position model. The record is from RNAcentral.
GAUGAACGCUGGCGGCGUGCCUAAUACAUGCAAGUCGAGCGAACGGACGAGAAGCUUGCUUCUCUGAUGUUAGCGGCGGACGGGUGAGUAACACGUGGAUAACCUACCUAUAAGACUGGGAUAACGUCGGGAAACCGGAGCUAAUACCGGACAAUAUGUUGAACCGCAGGGUUCAAAAGUGAAAGACGGUCUUGCUGUCACUUAUAGAUGGAUCCGCGCUGCAUUAGCUAGUUGGUAAGGUAACGGCUUACCAAGGCAACGAUGCAUAGCCGACCUGAGAGGGUGAUCGGCCACACUGGAACUGAGACACGGUCCAGACUCCUACGGGAGGCAGCAGUAGGGAAUCUUCCGCAAUGGGCGAAAGCCUGACGGAGCCACGCCGCGUGUGUGAUGAAGGUCUUCGGAUCGUAAAACUCUGUUAUUAGGGAAGAACAUAUGUGUAAGUAACUGUGCACAUCUUGACGGUACCUACUCAGAAAGCCCCGGCUAACUACGUG